RNAcentral lists this long non-coding RNA (481 nucleotides) under Brassica napus (rape). RNAcentral describes it as "long non-coding RNA (BNAP_LNC008977)". Lineage: Eukaryota; Viridiplantae; Streptophyta; Magnoliopsida; Brassicales; Brassicaceae. The record is from RNAcentral.
CUUGUGAUAUAUGAAUAUCACAGUACACAAAUAGUAUAUUCAGUGAUAACUAGAGGUAAUUACCUCAGAACAAAAUGUCGCAUAUAUAAAUUUAAUAAACAUAUAAUACUAAAAGGCGAAUUCUAAUGAUUCAAUGUCUAUGUUUCUAUUGACCCUAAACCCCAUCCUCAUGUUUAUUUCAUUCCUCAACAAAGCAAAUACUAAAAGGCGAAUUUCUAAAAGCAGAAAUAGGUCUAACCAUUAGUUUACAAAAAAAAAGAAAUAGGUCUAACCAAUUGUUUUCUUUUAAAAACAUAUGAUAUUGAAAUUCUAGUGGCUUUUAAUUAGUGUUCUUUUCCGUUACUCCUCGAAUACUUUUGGUGUUUCAUUCAUUCUUCUUUAGCUAGCACACUCAAGUUCCCAAACUUUCCCUCCCUGUUGAAGUGAAGACCGCGAAGUUACCACUAGAAUACAUUAAAAUCCCCUCCACGAGGCACCACCC